AUUGAAAAUUAAAAUAUUUUACUUUUUAAAUAAAUUAUUUAUUUAAAUAGAAUGUUUAAAGAGUGAUCUGUGACACUGUUUAGCAAAACCAUUUAUUUAUUAUACUGUUAUAAUUAUGCACUGACAUUGUUGUUGGCUUUGUCAAUUGUCAUAUCUUCUAUGAGCAAACAAAGGUGAGAAUUCUUGCAAAAAUUGAAAAGUUAACGUCUUGGUGAAACAUAAAUCAAAUUUUAAAAUAA
This 239-nucleotide long non-coding RNA is filed under the name Trifolium pratense (red clover). RNAcentral's name for it is "long non-coding RNA (TPRA_LNC010948)". The record is from RNAcentral. Lineage: Eukaryota; Viridiplantae; Streptophyta; Magnoliopsida; Fabales; Fabaceae.